UACGGAGGGUGCGAGCGUUAAUCGGAAUUACUGGGCGUAAAGCGUGCGUAGGCGGAUUGUUAAGCGAGAUGUGAAAUCCCGGGGCUCAACCUCGGAACUGCAUUUCGAACUGGCAGUCUAGAGUAUGAUAGGGGUAGAGGGAAUUUCUAGUGUAGCGGUGAAAUGCGUUGAUAUUAGGAAGAACACCGGAGGCGAAGGCGGCCCCCUGGACAAAGACUGACGCUCAGGUGCGAAAGCGUGGGGAGCAAACAGG
This 253-nucleotide ribosomal RNA is filed under the name uncultured bacterium. RNAcentral describes it as "partial 16S ribosomal RNA". It matches the Rfam family "Bacterial small subunit ribosomal RNA", at positions 524 to 776 of the family's 1533-position model. The record is from RNAcentral.